RNAcentral lists this ribosomal RNA (253 nucleotides) under uncultured bacterium. RNAcentral describes it as "partial 16S ribosomal RNA". It matches the Rfam family "Bacterial small subunit ribosomal RNA", at positions 524 to 776 of the family's 1533-position model. The record is from RNAcentral.
UACGUACCGGACGAACGUUAUUCGGAAUCACUGGGCUUAAAGCGUGCGUAGGCGGUCUGGAAGGUGGGGUGUGAAAUCCCUCGGCUCAACCGAGGAAUUGCGCUUCAAACCACCAGACUUGAGGAAGGCAGGGGUGAGCGGAACUGAUGGUGGAGCGGUGAAAUGCGUUGAUAUCAUCAGGAACACCGGUGGCGAAGGCGGCUCACUGGGCCUUUUCUGACGCUGAGGCACGAAAGCUAGGGGAGCGAACGGG